GGCGAACGGGUGAGUAAUGUAUCGGAACGUACCAUUGAGUGGGGGAUAACGUAGCGAAAGUUACGCUAAUACCGCAUAUACCCUGAGGGGGAAAGCAGGGGAUCGCAAGACCUUGUGCUCUUUGAGCGGCCGAUAUCAGAUUAGCUAGUUGGUGAGGUAAAGGCUCACCAAGGCGACGAUCUGUAGCGGGUCUGAGAGGAUGAUCCGCCACACUGGAACUGAGACACGGUCCAGACUCCUACGGGAGGCAGCAGUGGGGAAUUUUGGACAAUGGGGGCAACCCUGAUCCAGCCAUGCCGCGUGAGUGAAGAAGGCCUUCGGGUUGUAAAGCUCUUUCGGCCGGGAGGAAAUCGCAUCAGUUAAUACCUGGUGUGGAUGACAGUACCGGAAUAAGAAGCACCGGCUAACUACGUGCCAGCAGCCGCGGUAAUACGUAGGGUGCGAGCGUUAAUCGGAAUUACUGGGCGUAAAGCGUGCGCAGGCGGUUUUUUAAGACAGGCGUGAAAUCCCCGGGCUCAACCUGGGAACUGCGCUUGUGACUGGAAGGCUAGAGUAUGGCAGAGGGGGGGUGGAAUUCCACGUGUAGCAGUGAAAUGCGUAGAGAUGUGGAGGAACACCGAUGGCGAAGGCAGCCCCCUGGGCCAAUACUGACGCUCAUGCACGAAAGCGUGGGGAGCGAACAGGAUUAGAUACCCUGGUAGUCCACGCCGUAAACGAUGCUCACUCGCUGUAUGCGAUACACAGUAUGCGGCCAAGCGAAAGCAUUAAGUGAGCCACCUGGGGAGUACGAUCGCAAGGUUGAAACUCAAAGGAAUUGACGGGGGCCCGCACAAGCGGAGAACCAUGGUGGUUUAAUUCGAUGAUACGGCGAGGAACCUUACCUGGGCUUAAAUGUAGAGCGACAGCUUGUGAGAGCAGCUUUCUUCGGACGAUCUACAGUCCUGCAUGGUGUCGUCAGCUCGUGCGGGAGAGGGUGUUCGGGUUAAGUCCAUACGAGCGCAGCCCUUAUCGUAGUUGCAGCGGUCAGCGGGACUCUAGCGG
RNAcentral lists this ribosomal RNA (1041 nucleotides) under uncultured bacterium. RNAcentral describes it as "bacterial SSU rRNA". It matches the Rfam family "Bacterial small subunit ribosomal RNA", at positions 97 to 1146 of the family's 1533-position model. The record is from RNAcentral.